Molecule: transfer RNA, 68 nt
Filed under: Talonostrea talonata
Lineage: Eukaryota; Metazoa; Mollusca; Bivalvia; Ostreida; Ostreidae
Description: Crassostrea talonata tRNA-Thr
Source: RNAcentral
UCAAUCUUAGUAUAAACUUAUUACAGAGGUCUUGUAAACCUCAGAUCUGCUAAGCUGCGGAGGUUGAU